Molecule: unclassified non-coding RNA, 1212 nt
Filed under: Hevea brasiliensis (rubber tree)
Lineage: Eukaryota; Viridiplantae; Streptophyta; Magnoliopsida; Malpighiales; Euphorbiaceae
Source: RNAcentral
GUAGGAGCUAAUUUUUAGCUAUUGACCCUACAAUCAAGGACUCAAAUUACAAAUUCCUAUUUUACAAAGAUUACUGAAAACAAGCCAACAGAUCACUAAAAUCAAGCACUAAAAUCAAGCAUAAAUUAUCUCUACACUUCUGUCUUUCAAGGAUGAGAUAUAAACAGUGGACAUUAUGGGAUUAGUAACAAAAGGUCCUUAUAUUGUAACAAAAGGUCCUUAUAUUCUCACAAGCUACAUAUGCAUACCUGAGGGGGGGAAAACAAAGGAAGUUAAUGGAUUUUGUAUCAAUUGCACUGCACGGUUAAAGCUGUUCAUGUCUACUUGCGUUUUUGUCCUGCUUUUCCCUUGCGGUUUUUCUUGGACUUGCCACUUCCCUUUCCCUUUUUAUCUAUGUUGUGAUUGCUCCAUGGACUUCCAGAAGCAAAAUUAGCCUGCCAAGCAUCCAUAUUGCCCCUAACAAAAUAGCAACCUUCUUUGGAGUUGCUGUCAUCAUAUUCCUCAUCCCAUCUAUCUGAUCCAAAGCUUUUAUCCAUCUGUGCAAAUAUGUGAUUCAGCAAACAUUCCAUGGACUUGUUGUCCAUAUAUUCCUCAUCCCAUCCAUCUGAUCCAAAGCUUUUAUCCUUCUGUGCGAAUAUGUGAUUCAGUAAAGGUUCCAUUCGUGGCUUUCUUGACUGCAACUUGUUUAAAAGCUCUCCAAUUGUUGAGUUAUCAUUCCGAAGCUUAACCUCACUAAAGAAAAUGAAUAUUCAAAACAUGAUCAUAGUCCAAUAUAAUAUACAAAAGUAAAGCUUUCAUAUCAAACAUGAUCAUAGUCCAAUAUAAUAUACAAAAGUAAAGCUUUCAUAUCAAAUGAUGGUAUGGUGUCUUAAACUAUUCAACAGUGCAUCUUACCGUCCAGCAUAAAUUAUACAGCACCAAAGAAUAUUUUUCAACUAUUAUCUCAGUACAACAAGACUCUAAGGCUGCUUGAAUAAAACUGAUUUGACCACUGCUGAAGGAAAAAGGAGGAAAGAAAAUAAGAAAUAUAUUAGACUGUUAGGUUUAAAAGAACUUACCUCGCAUCUAAUGCGGCAUGAAGUUGCUUCAAUUCAUCAAGCAUUUUUGCAGCUUCUCCAAAUAGACUUCUAUUUUCAUAUUCAGGAGGGCUCUUCUGAAAGAUUCCUUCAAUCUCAGUACUUAGAAUUUGAAUGGUUUUCUUUAUAUCUACCU